RNAcentral lists this long non-coding RNA (1004 nucleotides) under Sus scrofa (pig). Its description in RNAcentral is "lncRNA (ENSSSCG00070008890.1)". The record is from RNAcentral. Lineage: Eukaryota; Metazoa; Chordata; Mammalia; Artiodactyla; Suidae.
GGCUGGGGGCCCCAGGCCACUAGCCCGCCAGACUGCCCCACACCUGCCACCCUCCGAUGGGUCCGCUGCCUUUGUGCCCGCCAAUAGGGUUGUCGCUGCUGCUGCUGCUGCUGCUGCUGCUGCUGCUGCUGCUGCUGCUGCUGCUGCUGCUGCUGCUGCUGCUGCUGCUCUGCUCUUCUGACCCGGCCUGUUUUUAUUGUUUUUGCUUGCUUGCUUUGUUUUUCAAUCCGUUUCUUGUACUGUGAUUUAAGACUUUGGUUUUCCAUGAAUGUCAGUGAUAGAAUUUAUUAAUGCAAUUUAAUACCAGUUAGCAUAAUGAAAUCAGAAGGUAUUUAAUCAUUGACUUAGUGUUCAACAAAGAGGGGAUGUAAAGCUGCCCGGAGCCUAAGUUUGGGAAACCCUGUGUGCAGCCAUGGAGAUAAACACUCAGACUGGGAAACUGAGGCCCGCAAAGAUCAAGUCCUCGCCAAGAGUUACAUACGUGGACAGAGUCCUGGAACCCCAGCUCCGCUGCAGAGGAGAGGAGGCUGCAGCCCACAACCUCGGGGUCUGGAGUUUUCUGCGAGCUGGGAGGCAGCGUUGCUGGAGAGGUUGGUCACCCUUCCCCAGUGGCUCCGCCCAGACACCAUUCCCCCCAGCACCCUUGGCCCUCGGUCCCCAGAGCUUCCUGGACUGGGGAGGAGGGGACCGGGAGGGAGAAUGUGGACAGCGCCGCCUGCCGGGUUCUUGCCUCUGGGGGAUUCUCGGUCUGUCUCUGCCGCUUUAUCUCCAUUCUCUUCACCGGGUCUCUGCAUCCCUGUCUUUGUCUCCGCGUGCGAGUCUUUGUCGCUCUCUGUGUCUCCGUCUCUCCUUCUGUCUCUUUGUAUGUGUCUCUCUCUCUCCCUACUUUCUCCCUCUUUCUGCCUUUCUCUUUUAGUCUCGCCAUUCUUUGGCUGUCUUUUUGUCUCUUUCUGAGUCUGUCUCUGCCUCUCUCAGUAUCUUUCUGUGCGCCUCUGGUCUCUGCC